This is a long non-coding RNA of Acanthochromis polyacanthus (spiny chromis), 4342 nucleotides long. RefSeq lists it as uncharacterized. NCBI's taxonomy places the organism in Eukaryota, Metazoa, Chordata, Actinopteri, Pomacentridae. The transcript has 3 exons. The record is from RefSeq and is a predicted model, not a curated record.
AGAAGCCUCAGGGUUUGAUUGAAACUAAAUGUGAGAUCUGAUCCAUUCACCAGAAAACACAAACUUUACUUCAGAAUAUUCCAGUAAAAAUGAGCUGAAACAUUUGGGAGAAACUAUCAGUAAAAUAUGAUCAACAGGGAAACUUCUAACAUUCUGAUUGUUGGAAAUCAAAUCUAAAAUCCUUGAAGAUCUGCUUCCAAAGGAAUCUUUCAUAUUUGGUAGAAUAUUGAGAACAGAAAUGGAAGGAUUUCAGGAUGAAUUUAUCCAGCAGAUUCUUGAUGUGUUUCACAUGGAUGGAUGAAGAAAAUCCAGCAGAUUGACUGUGAUGUGAUUUGAUGCUAAAAGGUGAUGUGGUAAAAUGAGUAGAGGAGGGGCUUUGAAUGUCACUGAUUUACAAACAACGAAUGGUUCCAUGAAAUGACUUUAGAAAACAGGAACAUUAUCUGUGCUUUACCUUAGCGCCUCAUCUUUGUCUCAUUCUCUUUAACCCCUUAAGCUGCGGUCAAUUUUCCCCUGAAAUUUCUACUGAAGAUGUACAGAAAGUAAAUUGAAUGCUGUUCUUGAACUGUUUGGAGUACAGGCAUGGCUGGGGUCUCCUUUGAAAGCUGACAACCUACAUUGUCACCCAGUGCAGUAAAAAUUACUCUAGGUGCUACUGGCACAGAGUUAUUUAUGUUGGAACACACUGAAUUAGGAGGAAUUUUAUUCUCGCCUAAAUUUCUUCCCUAAUAAAACACCUGAAAAUUAGUGUGGCAGCACUGUGACAGCUUGAAACACAACAAGGCAACAGCUUGGGGUCUUACAUAGUUCAGGACAAAAUUUCAGAGCAAUACUACAAGAAAUGAGUGUUUCACACAUGUUUUUGUACUAAUAUGCCCAAUUAUGUCAAUUUUGGACACCCUAUGUACACCCUGUGAAAAAAUGGUAUAUCGUCGUUUAUUAGCGCUUUUUCACACUAUUUUCACUCCAAAAACUCAUAAAGAACUAAAAAAAUCACUUCAGAUAAGCUUCAGUGUGGAUCUUGAUCUGAAUCAGAGGCACAGACGGAGACAGAAAAAGCUGCAGCUCCUGCAGAGCCGGAGGUGUGAAAACUCACACUCGGCCGCUAAAGCCCGCCUCGCGGCUAUUCAGCAAGCUCAUUGGCGACAUGCCCUGUCAGUCAAACGUUUCCUCCGACGUGUUUUGCAUCAGAAUUUCAGGAAGAGAUGUGAGUCAACAGAUCCAUCGGCCAUGGCAACCAUAGAUAUAUCUAUGAUGGCAACGGCUGGCUGUUCCGGGUUCGGAGGCAGCGAUGAGUCACUUGAUUGGCUGAAACGCGGCUGGGAUCGAAGACAGAGGCUCCAGUCGCCAUUUUCUGACCGAGAUCGUGAGGAUAACAGAAGGAUUCAUAAAAUUAUGGAUAAAAAUGCAGUGACUUAUGGAACGCGCAGCGCCACCGUGCGCCACGUGGACGCGCACGGAGCCGAGCGAUUUGUGGAUUAUUUACUUAUUUCUUGACAUGUUUUGGGCAAAAUAUGAUACUUGCUCGUAUUGUCUGGAUGACUACUCUUGGAUUAUGGCCGGUUUUUGUGGAUUAUUUUCAUCGUUGAUCGGUAAAAGACCAUCGGAAGACGGAGAAAAGGAGCUGCAACAUGAAGAUGGUAAAAGCAGAACUAAUUUGAGGAACAGGAAGUGGUGUCACAUCACUGUUGUCAAGACAACCAAGCAGGAAACCUGAUGGAUCAGUUUGUGAAUAAUUCCUCCUCUGGUUCUUCAGGCUGUUUCCAGUCCAGCAGCAGCAGCGCCCUCUGCAGGUUGGACAGAUAAAAGCUUCCAGCAUCUAUCUGCUAUUCCCAGCUUCUCCCAUCCAGGAACUCGCCAGGCCCCACCCUGCUGACUUCUAGCAAACAUUGAAGGAACAAAAAGGGAUGUGAGCAGUUUUCUGAGAGUCCAUGUUGAGCAGCAGUGGAGGCUGGAUGUGAGGAAGAGGAGGUGGAUCAGCCGAUGCUGCUUUGUUGGCUUUAGAUUCAGAUCCAGGAUCAGGUGAGCUCAAUCAGUCCAUGAAGCAACUGGCAGAUAGUUUGAAAGCAUCAAAUGUGAGCAGAAUCCCAGAAGAGCUGAGUCAUUUGUGGUGCUUUAGAAGAGAAAUCCAAAGUGAUGCAGGUUUGUUCUGUGUGGUCUCUGCACUCCUUCAUGUUGGAGCUGAGAUCAAAUCAGAAGGAAAAAGCUCAAAGUUUUCAUGUUAGGCUGAAACAGACGCUGCUGAUGCUGCUUUUAAAGUGAGCUUGGCUCCAUGAACCAGUUGAAGAUUCUCUCUGAGGGACUUUUAGUUGAGAUGUUUGCUGCUGCUGAUGAUCCAUGUAGAGCACAUCUUUAGUCCCAGCAUCAUGAGGAGCAUUAAAGAAGGAAACAUGGAUUCAUGUGGAACAUUUACAACAAGCACACCAACACUGUCAAACAUUUGAGGGAGAAAAGCCAGUGAGUCUUUCUGCACUCAACUUUAUCUGACAAGAAAACAAGCAGAAAAGAUGGAAGUAGAAACGGCAGAGGAAAUCUCUGAGAGAGAUUUGUGUAAAAGGCUGUAAAAAGCAGCUUUGGAUCUUGAAGAAUCCUCAGAUCGGCUCAUUUCCAGUCUGAUGAGGUCAACACCCAGACAGCUUUAAUUUGAAGGGACUGAACAGGAAAACAGUGAGACUUUUGACUUCUUUCAAAGCUGUUUCACUGGAAUCAUGUUUUAAUACGAGUCAUUUUAAAUACAGACACAUGAAAUGAAAGAAAACACUCAUUAAAUCAAUACUGAGCGUGUAAUGUUGAAUGAACUGAUCCAUCAUCUGGUGUUUGAUCUCAUUUAUAAUUCACAAUAACAUAAAAUACAGCUGUAGUCAUUAAAUUCAGACAUUUAAAAUCUAAAUAAACACAUUUUUUAAUCAAUGAAACCUUUAAUUCAUUGAACACAGAAAACCAUCCUUUAAUGUCUUCCCUUAAAAUGAGCAACAUUUUUAAAAUAUAGCUGCAAAGUAAAAGUUUCACACUAAAGAUGAAUCACUGAUGAACAUUUAAUGGCAUUAACUCAAUUAUUAUGAGGAAACAGAAAUCCAUUUCUAGUAUUUCUAUCAAAUAUAUUUAUGUCUGUAAAAUAUCCUGGACAUCAAUAAAAAUGUCUGCAGAGUGAAAUAUAUGAGUCCAUCUAAAUGGCUCCUUGUAUUGGUGCCACACUGGCCAAUCACUGGAGACAAAACAUGAAUGAAGAAUUCAGUGUCCUGGAAAAGGUGAACUCCUCGUCUGUGACACCAUCCUGGAUCCACGGUUCAAAGAGGUUGGCUUGAGCAAUCCAAAGGCUGACAGGGAGUGUUCUAGCCUUAUUGAAGAGUCAACAGAAGAUGUUCCUCUGGAGAAUUCAGCAACAUCUACCAGUGAAGAGAACUACAACUUGUGGGCUUUGCUGGACAGCAUGUAGAGUCUCAGCACCACACCGGCUGUAGUGGAGAUCCAGAGGUUUGUAUAUGGAGUACUGCUGGAAUAUCAGCUGUUUCAUUCACUCAGUCAUUCAUUGCCUUUCUGUGUGUCUCAGGUAUUUAAAUCAUUUCACGGUGAGAAUUGAUUAGGUGUGGAUUUUUAUUACCAUUUGUAAUAAAUGUAAUCUCAGUAUUAUCCUGCAGUGGCCUCGGGUUAUUUCCUGAUAUCACAACUUCAUGCCAGAAAUUCAUUAAUUGGUGACUGAUGUGCCAUUUCUCAAAAGCUGAGUGACAAAGAUAACGCUGCAAAGCCCCUUCUUGCUGAUAUCAUCUUUUAAAUAGACCAGGCCCAUGUAACCUAACACCUUGGUGGGAAUGCACUCAGUCAAGCCGAUUGUUUCUGCUCACAUACAGUUUCUUGUGUGAGAUAAGUAUGGCCUGGCUGCAGAGAGAACAACAAGGCCUUAAAAGCGUGAAUGAGACAUCGACUGUCAACGCCUCGGUUUGUCAGAUUCUUAACCAGAUUCGUGCUCAAGCAGCGCCAAAGUUGACGAGAAUGAACACUGUAAACAGCAGUGUGUACGUGUGGUGGCUUUCCAGUAAGAUAUGGUUUCUGAUAUCACAUCAUCCCAGACUAAUAUUCAGACUAUUAGUCAGGAUGUGAUGAGCUGAGCUGGUGCCUGCUGUGAUUCAUGUAGCAGCUUCUGAAUAGGCAGCAUAAAUGUUAUGGCACAGAGGAUGUGAGUCAGGACAGAGAGAAUCCAGUUCACUGGGCCAUUACUGCAGACCUGGGUGUUGGGAAGGUUUUUUCCCCUAUAAAUAAGACUAACUAGUCACAAGAUUCAGUGUUUGAGGGACAGCUAGUUAUAUAGUAUGGACGCACAGAAGGCACAAUGUUAAUGCUCUGU